This is a non-coding RNA of Exiguobacterium sp. AT1b, 102 nucleotides long. NCBI's taxonomy places the organism in Bacteria, Bacillati, Bacillota, Bacilli, Caryophanales. The record is from Rfam.
UUAAAUAAAUAGAUUCGCACUCGUAUAUCAGCGGAAAUAUGGUCCGCAAGUCUCUACCGAACUACCGUAAAUGGUUCGACUACGGGUGGCGCUUGUCGUAUG